GCGGCGAUAGCUUGCGACUCGGCGAAAUCUAAACGGCAGCUAGAAGCGGAGCUAGGGCAACAAGGUCGGCGCGAAGGGUGUCUCGGUCCUUUAUAGGGGCUCGGCAGUCGAUUUUAGGCAAGAAAUCCCGGACACUUGGGAUUGGCGGCGUUAACCCCGUGUCCUGCUCGGGCACGACUCGAGGAAGAAGAUGGAAGGGAACCAGUGUCGCUGACAUGCGGGUCCGAGCUGGCAGCGACUCAGUGGCGCGGGCCCGGUUGGUCAGCCAAGGGGGAGAGGCGCGCUGGGCUGGGGAAUUGGGCCGCGGUUGCUGGGCCGACUGGAGAGAGGAGGGGGGAAUACUGGGCCGAAAGGGAAAAAGGGGGAGGGGAAGGAGUGAUGGGCUCAGGUCAGAGAGAUGGAGAGGGAGAGGUUUGUUUUUUUUUAUUUUCUUUUCCUUUCUUUUAUUCCAAAACCAUUUUCAAAUCUAUUUUAAAAAUCACUUUUGAAAUAUUUUUGAACUUUAGCCAAAAACCACUCAUGUCAAUAAAAUUAAUGCACAAGCAUGAAUGCACAACAAGUUCCUAAGCCCUAUGGUAAAUUUUAUUUUAAGAAAAAUAUUAUUUUCCUAUGUUUCAUGGGCACAAAAACAACAAAAUUAAAUUAUUUUUCCUCUAUUUAAAAUUUGUAAAUUUUUGGGUGUUACAAAUCUACCCCCCUUAAAAUGAAUCCCGUCCUCGAGAUUCAGAAGAGGCACAGAUUCAAAAAGAGAAACAAGAACAAGAUAUUGAUCAUUAUUUCAACUUGACAACUUGUAUUCCAAAUGCAAGCACUUAUGUUUCUGGAUUACAACUUGUGAACAAAACUUCCAUAAGAUGUCUAUUAUUCGUAAUUGCUCACUGUCCAUCUUGACUACCAACUUUUCCACUUAUACAACUCAAAGACAUGAUACCUCGGCAUGGAUAUGCCUCCUCAGGUAGGAGUGGACCACCUUGAUACUCAAUUCUUUUCCCUGACGGUGCGGUUAAGAAAAUUUUCCACUGGGUAGCAUAGAUCACUGCCUUGUGUGCACAUAACCAUCCAUUGCCAAGAACCAAAGGAAUGUUGAGUGACUCUAGCACAAUGAGAUUUACAGUGAAGUUUUCCUUCUUUAUGACAAGAUUGAUAUUUGAGCAAACCUGAUCUGCCCUUAUUUCUCCCAUUGGGGUUUGAACUAACAAAGGCUUUCUCGUCGGACACUUCACCCGUUCGAUUGUCUUUACCAAGUCGGCGGAUAUGAAAGAAUGCGAAGCACUUCGGUCAAACAGAGCAAAAACUAGUACUGAGUCCACUUGAAUAUAGCUUCCCACCACUUUGGUGGCUCCUUGAAUGUUAUGCCUAUCCACAUUGUUCAGUCUUCCAUUGAUAUAAUUUGGCUGUACUUUAUUUCCAGGAGCGGGCUUCUUACGAGCUUUCCUUUUUCGCUUCCGUCGUUGUGGAUUUUGAUUCGAUUCAUUGUCAACUUGCUCUUCCAUAUUAUUAUUUUGAUAAUACUCAGCUUUGUCAUACUCAUAGCAUCUUUCUUCAAAGGCAAGAUGAUCAUAAUCUACCCACCUAUCCAUGAGAGGCGUCAUAUUGUGCUCCGGAUUCAUGGGACACUACACUCCCUGUCAUCAAGUGACCAACGUCAGUAACACGGUAAGGAUAGAUGAUCAUAACCAUAGAAUAUCUUAGAAGACAAUUAUCACUCCAAGCUAGUCUUAAAAUGCAUCACCCGUGAUAUCAAGGUACUACCCCCCUUAAAAUUAGAUUGAUUGGGGAGACAUUAGGGACUAGUCCUCAUAACCUUUUUCAAUGCUACACAUCAUAUAGUCUUUUAAAUUCGCUGUACUGAGUCUCUUGAUCCAAGGUUAGUUUCAUCACUAAGUUCCAAUUAUCGGUACCUUAGUCAUGGUUAAGUUGUUUCACUCUCAUACUGUACAUAUAACUUCGUAAUCUUUGGUGUCAUCUGAUCCUCAUAACCAUAACCCUCAAUCCAUGAGUAUCAGCAAUGACAUAUAUCUCCUUUAAUAUUCUCUGAAUGGGAUGAUAUCCUGAAUCAAAACCAAUUUACCAAGCGCUUGUGAUCCUCACUUAGGAUCCAACACUAGCCAAUCCGUCUCAUUGUAACUCCUUUAAUUGGGCUACCCCCCUUAAAAGGGUCAACCAGGGGACACAAGAAAGUUAGCUUGCAUGUUUUCCAGACAAGUUAACUAACAUUGAGAACUUAUGACAUCCCAAAGAGCUUCUGUGCAAGAGAACAAACAUGUAUCCUGAAAUUUAUCAUGAUAUAGAAACUCCAACGUAGUAAAAUAUGUAUAACUCUUAUUCUGUUAAUCCAAUAGAGUUGUAGAUUAUACCGUUAGAAAACAUAUGAAAUUACCUACAACUUUUAUAUAGAAGACCUCCUUAGGUUCUGUCUUUGAGAUUAGGUAAAACAGCCAAACUUAAUAUCCAUCCUGACAAUGUCUUAGCAAGGGUGCAGUAACUUCCAGAAGUUAUAUCUAGAGCUCCUUAACUCAUCUGGAGAUGAUCCUUACAUUUUUGAAAAGCUUAGGAAAUCCUCUACAACUUUCGUAUACAAUUGUUUCCCAGAUUCUGUCUUUAACUUGGCUGAAAAUAGGAAAUACCAGAUCUGUCCAGAUCUUGAAACAGAACAGAAACAUCCAACUGUAAAUAUCAUAUCUCGGGUUCUACUUAUCCAAAUAAGUUCUAGUUUAUACCGUUGGAAAGCUUAGCAAAUUUUCUACAACUUUUCUAUAGAAAACUUUUCCAAAUUCUAUAGCUAUAUUUGUCUAAAACAGUAGGCAACCAAAACUGGUCCAGAUUCCUGACAGCACAUUUGUAUCAUCUUGUGAUUUUUGUAACUUCUAACCCAUAACAGAUAUGAGGGUGAUUCUUGUGGUAAGAGAAAGAUCUUGAAGUCUAGUUGUUCCCAGAAAAAGUUGAGAAACUUUGCACGAUCAGAACUUGAGGUACAACAAGGUUAUUGCAGACUGCUCCAGAAAACAACAAGGGAUAGAAACGUGGUAUAACCAAACCCAACUACUUAUUUCACUACUCCUUAUGCCUUAGGCCUAUAAACUAAAUGAUAUUGUGGAGCAAACCCACAAGAUCAUUGCACUCAUUACAAAGAUCCAAAUCAAGCAUAAACAUAAUAACAAACCAAUUAAGCACGCUUCACUCAAUUUGCGAUACUAUCGUUCUCUUCAUAGUAAGGGUAGAUAUCUUAAGACACCUAUCCCAACGAUGCCAGAAGGUGGUAAGAAAAAGUUCUAAAAGCAUAUCAAGCAAGGAGUGGGGAUGAGAACAAGUACUUUUAAAGUAAGCAACAAGGUAGAGACAAAUAGCAAGGAUAGGGAUAUAGUAUAGAUGAAUAUACCAAGGUUUGUAGAGCAAGGAUUUUAUGACGAUUCCAAAACCUUAAGACGACCAAUUUCUAACUAGGCUUGCGUCCUACAGUCAGCAUUGCUCUGAUACCACUUUGUAAUACCCGAUUUUAAAUAUAAAACCAGAUAUGCACCAUAAGUGAGUUUUAGAAGACAAACCUCACAUAUAGCUACAAAUAAGGGGUAAUAUCAAAGGACAAUGCAUAAAUAUAUAACGUACUUAGUAUAAAAGAUAUAACCUUUGAUAACAAACAGCGGAUAGACAACUCCAAACUUCGGGUAUUAACUUCUCUCUACAGGAUCCAUCUGACUGGUUGAUCACAAGCCUAACACUCUUCCUGGAUAUGGGGGAAAUAGCAAGAGUGAGUCCAUGUCGAACUCCACAAGUAUAGCAACUAGAUUGUAUAGCUCCCACAAUCUCAUGAUCAAUGUGACAUAAAUAAUGUAAAGAAUUAAACAAUAAACAAUGAGCAUAUUUAACACACAAGAAUCAUCACCCUUAAUGUAGAUGUCCCCAAGGCCGCUCCUGACCGUGAGCUUGGCUAGUAUACUAGUUUUUAACCCUCUGCAGAAGUUGCACAUCUUUACCCAUGAGUCAUGAUUUACCCUUUCGCCCGAGGUAGCUAGUCUCUUAACCCCCUUCCUAGGGAGGUCGGCAGGGAUCACUAUGAAGUCUUUCAAAGGUUCGUCUAACAAGUUAGGGCCGCUUGGUUUCAUUAAUCAGUCGAUGUGAUUCACCCGCAGGAAUCCACGGUCUGCUAUUCCCCAAUUGCGCCACAACGGGUAACCGCUAACGAGCUAGAAAAGUUACUCAUACUAAACUAAAGCCAGAGCCAUUAUAGCCCUCAUGGUUGCACUGUUGUCCCGGGUGAUCACGUACAGACAAAUCAUCAAGUUGCUAAAAAGUCAUUUUUAUCCUUUAUUACUUAACAUUAAUCUAGCCACAGGAUCAUGGUCACAGAAAUAAAAUCCAAAUGCUAUACUUGCCUUAAUCCAAUUGCUCUUGCUGAUCCUUUUGGUUUUGCUGGUCUCACUUGUUGCCAAAGCUUUGAUCUUGAUCACCGAAACUGCUCUCCGACUAAACUCGAUCAUCGAUCACCAACACACAAACAAUCGGAGACAAACAUACACAAAGCAAACAAGGCAACAAUUAGAACAGUACACCAAGCAUAUGAAAACAGUAUGAAAAGUUUAUAAAAUGAUUCUACGCAGCGCUACGAUUUCAUAGACGUAAAGAUCGCGAAAAUCGGAAUUGAAACGGAAAAAAUAUGGAUUUUUUAAGAUUUUAUAUAGAAAAGUAAUUAAUUAAAUAGGGUCACGAAAUUAAAAAGUUUCAAACUGAGUAAACAAUUUUACUAACAUGUAGAGCUCAUUACUACGAAUCCAACGCAAUUUGAAUGGACAAAAACGGAGUUAAAAUGAAUAUUUUAUAGCCAAAACAAACUCAGUGGCAAUUUUGUGAAUACCAGCAAGCGUAUUUGAAACAAACCGAACUGAUUUAUGUUUUCAAAACUGAAAGGCGUAUUCUUAAAAUGUGCUUUGGGCUGCGGGUUAAGUACGACAUCUUUCAGGGACUCUUUAGAAAAUGUUACCCCGAAGGGGUAUGUUCUAAUCUGGUGCCUUGGUUGUAGAUCGAACGGCUCAGGAUCAAUCCACGGAGGGAAGAGGAGAUGCUGGCCGGCUACAGAGCUCUGGCCGGUGGCGCCAUGGCCGGAUUUCGGCCGGAACAUCGCCGGAGUCGGGUGAGAAGGCGCUAGGAGCCACGGUUUUCAAUGGGAAAGGAACCAGAGCGUAGAGGACCUUCGUGCGAACUCACCUAGACGAUUAUUGCGGGCAGAGGGAGCUCGGGCUGGUCCGGCGUCGAGAUGGGGCGGCAGCGAGCUUCUGCGAAAGUUCGGCGAAGAAUUAAGAGCAAUAUAUCGCGCUAGAGAGGGAAAGGAAGGGAUGGGUAGCUUCGUUACCUCCGCACAACGCUCGGCAAGGCUUCAAUUUCACCGGAACAGCUGCGAAACGCGAUAUCCACGGCGGCGGCGAUAGCUUGCGGCUCGGCGAAAUCUAAACGGCAGCUAGAAGCGGAGCUAGGGCAACAAGGUCGGCGCGGAGGGAGUCUCGGUCCUUUAUAGGGGCUCGGCAGUCGAUUUUAGGCAAGAAAUCCCGGACACUUGGGAUUGGCGGCGUUAACCCCGUGUCCUGCUCGGGCACGACUCGAGGAAGAAGAUGGAAGGGAACCAGUGUCGCUGACAUGCGGGUCCGAGCUGGCAGCGACUCAGUGGCGCGGGCCCGGUUGGUCAGCCAAGGGGGAGAGGCGCGCUGGGCUGGGGAAUUGGGCCGCGGUUGCUGGGCCGACUGGAGAGAGGAGGGGGGGAAUACUGGGCCGAAAGGGAAAAAGGGGGAGGGGAAGGAGUGAUGGGCCUCAGGUCAGAGAGAUGGAGAGGGAGAGGUUUGUUUUUUUUUAUUUUCUUUUCCUUUCUUUUAUUCCAAACCCAUUUUCAAAUAUAUUUUAAAAAUCACUUUUGAAAUAUUUUUGAACUUUAGCCAAAAACCACUCAUGUCAAUAAAAUUAAUGCACAAGCAUGAAUGCAGAACAAGUUCCUAAGCCCUAUGAUAAAUUUUAUUUUAAGAAAAAUAUUAUUUUCCUAUGUUUCAUGGGCACAAAAACAACAAAAUUAAAUUAUUUUUCCUCUAUUUAAAAUUUGUAAAUUUUUGGGUGUUACAAAUCUACCCCCCUUAAAAUGAAUCUCGUCCUCGAGAUUCGGAAGAGGCAC
This 6151-nucleotide long non-coding RNA is filed under the name Sorghum bicolor (sorghum). RNAcentral describes it as "long non-coding RNA (SBIC_LNC010229)". Lineage: Eukaryota; Viridiplantae; Streptophyta; Magnoliopsida; Poales; Poaceae. The record is from RNAcentral.